GACAGAGGGUGCAAACGUUGUUCGGAAUUACUGGGCGUAAAGCGCGUGUAGGCGGUCUUGAAAGUCAGGCGUGAAAGCCCCGGGCUUAACCUGGGAAUUGCGCUUGAUACUCUGAGACUGGAGUACGGGAGAGGAGAGUGGAAUUCCCAGUGUAGAGGUGAAAUUCGUAGAUAUUGGGAAGAACACCAGUGGCGAAGGCGGCUCUCUGGACCGUAACUGACGCUGAGGCGCGAAAGCGUGGGGAGCAAACAGG
This 253-nucleotide ribosomal RNA is filed under the name uncultured bacterium. RNAcentral's name for it is "partial 16S ribosomal RNA". It matches the Rfam family "Bacterial small subunit ribosomal RNA", at positions 524 to 776 of the family's 1533-position model. The record is from RNAcentral.